This 119-nucleotide ribosomal RNA is filed under the name Scophthalmus maximus (turbot). Lineage: Eukaryota; Metazoa; Chordata; Actinopteri; Pleuronectiformes; Scophthalmidae. The record is from RNAcentral.
GCUUACGGCCACACGGCCUGGUUCACCCCCGAUCUCGUUUGAUCUCGGAAGCUAAGAUAGGUUGGGCCUGGUUAGUACUUGGAUGGGAGACCGCCUAGGAAUACCAGGUGCUGUAAGCU